GACAUAGGUGGCGAACGUUAUCCGGAUUUAUUGGGCGUAAAGAAUGCGUAGAUGGUGGAAUAAGUUAUUGGUCGAGGUCAAGCUCAACUCGGCGGAAGCUGGUAAUACUGUUCUACUUGAGGGCAGGAGAGGUUGGCGGAAUUCUGUGUGGAGCGGUGAAAUGCGUUGAUCUACAGAGGAACACCAAAAAGGGCGAAGGCAGCCAACUAUUCUGAUCCUGACAUUGAGGCAUGAAAGCGUGGGGAGCAAACCGG
This 254-nucleotide ribosomal RNA is filed under the name uncultured bacterium. RNAcentral describes it as "partial 16S ribosomal RNA". It matches the Rfam family "Bacterial small subunit ribosomal RNA", at positions 524 to 776 of the family's 1533-position model. The record is from RNAcentral.